UGAAUACGAGAUGCUACGGCAUCGAAGCAGUCUAUGUCAUACUUCCAAGAAAAGCUCGCACUGUCAAAAACAAAUUAAUGCCUGUACCAUAACCGACACAGGUGGGUAGGUAGAGUAUACUAAGGGGCGCGAGAUAACUCUCUCUAAGGAACUCGGCAAAAUAACUCCGUAACUUCGGGAGAAGGAGUGCCUUUUUUAAGGCUGCAAUAACCAGAUCCAAGCAACUGUUUAUCAAAAACACAGGUCUCCGCUAAGUCGUAAGACGAUGUAUGGGGGCUGACGCCUGCCCAGUGCCAGAAGGUUAAAGAAGUUGGUUAGCCUUGCGAAGCUGAUGACUGAAGCCCUGGUGAACGGCGGCCGUAACAAUAACGGUCCUAAGGUAGCGAAAUUCCUUGUCGGGUAAGUUCCGACCCGCACGAAAGGCGUAAUGAUUUGGAUACUGUCUCGGAGAGGGACUCGGUGAAAUAGACUUGUCUGUGAAGAUGCGGACUACCUGCACCAGGACAGAAAGACCCUAUGAAGCUUUACUGUAACUUGAGAUUGAAAUUGGACUUUACUUGCGCAGUAUAGGUGGGAGGCAUUGAAGAGAUUCUUGCGGGAAUUUUGGAGCCAUCAGUGAGAUACCACUCCUGUAAUGUUAGAUUUCUAACUUUGAAUCAUUAUCUGGUCAAAGAACAGUCUCAGGCGGGCAGUUUGACUGGGGCGGUCGCCUCCCAAAUGGUAACGGAGGCGCACAAAGGUUUCCUCUGAACGGGUAGAAAUCGUAUCUAGAGUGUAAAGGCAUAAGGAAGCUUGACUGUGAGACCUACAAGUCGAGCAGGGACGAAAGUCGGUCUUAGUGAUCUGACGGUGCUGAGUGGAAAGGCCGUCACUCAACGGAUAAAAGUUACUCUAAGGAUAACAGGCUGAUCUCCCCCAAGAGUUCACAUCGACGGGGAGGUUUGGCACCUUGAUGUCGGCUCAUCGCAUCCUGGGGCGGUAGUACGUCCCAAGGGUUGGGCUGUUCGCCCAUGAAAGCGGUACGCGAGCUGGGUUCAGAACGUCGUGAGACAGUUCGGUCCAUAUCCGGUGUAGGCGUUAGAAUAUUGAGAGGAUCCUUCUUUAGUACGAGAGGACCGAGAAGGACAUACCUCUGGUGUACCAGUUAUCGUGCCAACGGUAAACGCUGGGUAGCUAUGUAUGGAGUGGAUAACCGCUGAAAGCAUCUAAGUGGGAAGCCCACCUCAAGAUAAGUAUUCUC
RNAcentral lists this ribosomal RNA (1240 nucleotides) under metagenome. Its description in RNAcentral is "bacterial LSU rRNA". It matches the Rfam family "Bacterial large subunit ribosomal RNA", at positions 1564 to 2815 of the family's 2925-position model. The record is from RNAcentral.